GGUUGGGGGUGGGUGGGGGCAGAGGUUAUGAAGAGUGUGGAACCAUUAUAAGUUGGUAAAGAUGGCGAAUGAUUAACCAGGGACCAGGGUCGCAAAAACUCUAGGUAGACGCCUGUGGGCCAAAAGAGAGGAGAAAAGAGGAACAGAAUGAAGCAAAAUGUCUUUGGUUAUCAUUGAUAUGGAGAGGCUGACCUUCGACCAACCACAACCUCCCAAGCCAAGAAAAAGAAGAUACAGAACAAUAGAGGAAGAACAGAGUUUCAAGGUGAGGGAGGAGGACGAAGAAGAUGAGACAUGUUUGCAGUGUUUUGGAGGCAAAAUUUGGACUUGUUGCAAUUUAAUAUGAUUAUUUCGUUCUCUUAUUUUCUCUAUAA
This is a long non-coding RNA of Carya illinoinensis, 374 nucleotides long. RefSeq lists it as uncharacterized. The transcript is spliced from 2 exons. Lineage: Eukaryota; Viridiplantae; Streptophyta; Magnoliopsida; Fagales; Juglandaceae. The record is from RefSeq and is a predicted model, not a curated record.